This 710-nucleotide ribosomal RNA is filed under the name uncultured bacterium. RNAcentral's name for it is "bacterial SSU rRNA". It matches the Rfam family "Bacterial small subunit ribosomal RNA", at positions 9 to 694 of the family's 1533-position model. The record is from RNAcentral.
GAGUUUGAUCCUGGCUCAGGACGAACGCUGGCGGCGUGCCUAAUACAUGCAAGUGGAACGCAUGAUUGAUACCGGAGCUUGCUCCACCAUUAAUCAUGAGUCGCGAACGGGUGAGUAACGCGUAGGUAACCUACCUCAUAGCGGGGGAUAACUAUUGGAAACGAUAGCUAAUACCGCAUAACAGUCUUUGACACAUGUUAGAGACUUAAAAGGAGCAAUUGCUUCACUAUGAGAUGGACCUGCGUUGUAUUAGCUAGUUGGUGAGGUAAAGGCUCACCAAGGCGACGAUACAUAGCCGACCUGAGAGGGUGAUCGGCCACACUGGGACUGAGACACGGCCCAGACUCCUACGGGAGGCAGCAGUAGGGAAUCUUCGGCAAUGGGGGGAACCCUGACCGAGCAACGCCGCGUGAGUGAAGAAGGUUUUCGGAUCGUAAAGCUCUGUUGUAAGAGAAGAACGUGUGUGAGAGUGGAAAGUUCACACAGUGACGGUAACUUACCAGAAAGGGACGGCUAACUACGUGCCAGCAGCCGCGGUAAUACGUAGGUCCCGAGCGUUGUCCGGAUUUAUUGGGCGUAAAGCGAGCGCAGGCGGUUUGAUAAGUCUGAAGUAAAAGGCUGUGGCUUAACCAUAGUACGCUUUGGAAACUGUCAAACUUGAGUGCAGAAGGGGAGAGUGGAAUUCCAUGUGUAGCGGUGAAAUGCGUAGA